AGUGAACGCUGGCGGCGUGCCUAAUACAUGCAAGUCGAGCGAACAGAUGAGAAGCUUGCUUCUCUGAUGUUAGCGGCGGACGGGUGAGUAACACGUGGGUAACCUACCUAUAAGACUGGGAUAACUCCGGGAAACCGGGGCUAAUACCGGAUAAUAUUUUGAACCGCAUGGUUCAAUAGUGAAAGACGGUUUCGGCUGUCACUUAUAGAUGGACCCGCGCCGUAUUAGCUAGUUGGUAAGGUAACGGCUUACCAAGGCGACGAUACGUAGCCGACCUGAGAGGGUGAUCGGCCACACUGGAACUGAGACACGGUCCAGACUCCUACGGGAGGCAGCAGGAGGGAAUCUUCCGCAAUGGGCGAAAGCCUGACGGAGCAACGCCGCGUGAGUGAUGAAGGUCUUCGGAUCGUAAAACUCUGUUGUUAGGGAAGAACAAAUUUGUUAGUAACUGAACAAGUCCUGACGGUACCUAACCAGAAAGCCACGGCUAACUACGUGCCAGCAGCCGCAGUAA
This 514-nucleotide ribosomal RNA is filed under the name uncultured bacterium. Its description in RNAcentral is "partial 16S ribosomal RNA". It matches the Rfam family "Bacterial small subunit ribosomal RNA", at positions 29 to 523 of the family's 1533-position model. The record is from RNAcentral.